CAAUCCUGUGCCGACCUCAUCCAAAAGCCAGCACCGGGGAUCAGCUGGGAUGAAGAGCAGUGGGGCAGCACAGAUCAGUCAGUGAGCAGAAGCGAUCGGACUACAGUGAGGCACACAGUUGAUGAGCUCUUAGGGGCCAGCACAUUUCUCUGACUGUUGGGGACCCCGCCAUUCAACAGCCAGGAUGGCUCGGGAUAUGUCAGAUAAGGAAAUCUUGAAAAUGGAGCUAGACCAGUUGAAGAAGGAAGUUAGCACACCUAGGACACCAGUGAAUGCAAACUGUACAGACACAAUUGCUUUUGUGGAGGGACUGGCCCCGAAUGAUCCGCUGAUUAAGGGUGUUCCCGAUGACAAGAACCCUUACAAGGGAGACAAGGGCGGCUGCAUAAUAACAUAGCACAUAGAAAUCCAAGGAAAAGUCACACAGUUUUUUAUGAGAGUUGGUUGCAUUGCUGUGAUAUUCCUGUAGCCUUUGUGGAUAAAAUGUACAGUCGAAAGAAAACUGAAAUCUGUAAUGGAUAAUUCCAUCACUGGAUUUCUGUAUGCACCUGUGGAUAGUCUUUGUCAAUUUAUAAUUAAAUCCAAAUAGCUGUGCAAAGCUUCAACCUGACGUAGCUGUUCUUGUUAUUGAAAAGACAUAACACAUGUGAUUUUUUUGAGCUCCUACUGUACUUUAAUCUCAUUUUAUCACACUGGUUAAUAUUAAAUAGUGAUAACUACUCACUGAUUUGCGUCCAAUAUCCCUGACUGUAAGUCAACAUCUCACCCAUGUUACUGUACAGAAGGGGGUCAAAGUCCCAAGAGAGUCAGUACUACUAAUCGGAUUUCUUUGCUGUGGUAGAGUCAGUCACACGGGUCUGUUGACACGGAGCCGCUUCCUGUAUCAAAGUCUUUAAGCUUAUUCCACACUUCAUCCUGACUUCCAUUUUGAGCUCUCCAUCCAAUUAGUGACGCUUUCAGUGCUGGCAUCAGGAAAUACAAUUAAAGAACUCAACAUCUGAGUCAUCAAAGAACUCAACAUCUACCUGUCAAAUAGCUUUUUAAAGAGGUUUAAAUAUUGUAAGAAUAUUAUAAUAACACAAAAGAUAGAUGAUGGGGCUGCUGGGUACAGAUUACAAAUCAGAGUAUAGAGACAGAAACUAAAACAAAAUACAAAAAAGGAGCAAAAAAGGAUUUUUGAAACAUAACCUAUAAAUAUAUAUAAUUAUCACAUAAUUUACCCGUAAAUAGUAAACAAAUUAUUGCAUGAUGAGUUGUUUAUAUAAGUGUUAUUAUAAAGAAUAAGUAAGAUCAAAAGAUCAAAAGAAGAAUCACUUUUAAAUUGCACUUUUAAGUUUUUGUUGUAAUUUUAGUGUAAUGUAAAAUGGGAGAGUGAAAGCAUUUUGAAAAGCCUCAACAUUGCUGAACAUCAAGUACACAGGUGUGGGGUAACCGGAGUUUUUCUGCCUAUUAUCAAACCAAUCAGUCACUCCCUGCUUGGCUGGGUCUCAACUAAUAAUCAAAACUGUUUAGUAUUUUCAGUCUACAAACAGAGAAAUCAACAGGUCAGCACGAGUGGAACCAAAUCCAAAUAAAACUGAUAAACACAUAGAUAAUGUAUAAAAUAGGGGCAUAGCUUCUCAGUCUAAAAUGUGAAACCUAUGCAAAAGUGCCAUAAACCUGUUUUCUUUCUAAUGGCCAGUAGGGGGUAAAUCUGGCACUUUAAGACAAGUAGACUUAUUUUUUCAAGUCUAGUCAAGUCUGGUUAAACAGCCCUAGACUGCCAUGCUCUCUGAUGUCAAUUAAUACUUUUCUGAUGAGUUUAUGGUCUGAAUUUGUACUUACUAAAGACAAUAUCAUAUUUAUUUGUACAUUUUUGUCACCUUUAAUGUCCAGAUGGACACUAAAUCAGGGUAUACUCAUGACUGUAUAAGCGUCAGUUUUACUUUCACUUGCAAUGUUCGAAUUCAAAAAGCUAAAAUCUCAGCAAAUCAGCUACAUUCAUCUUGUAUAUGCUGUCUAGAAGGAAGAAAGAACAAUUUUAAGAGGUGAGGUGUGUACGAAUCAACUGCCCGGGGACCCUCAGUAGAGUCUUCAUCAGAGUCUGCAGUCAGAAGAGACCAGCAGCCGGACCCACUCUGUCCUAUCGAUCUUUUUGAGUUAACAUCAAUCAUUUCUUCUUCUUAAACAACAAUGUGCCUUUAAGUCUCCAUUCCUAUAGGACUGCUGAAAGAUGAUUAAUUUGAAAUAUGAUUAAUUUAUUUUUAUUAACUGGCUACAUACCACAGGCUUUUGAGGUGGUGACAAUAAAGCCAUUACUUAAAAAGGCCUUACCUGAUCCAGCUGUGUAAGCUAACUAUAGAACAGUUUCUAUCCUUCUUUGCAUUUCACAAAUUCUUAAAAGAGUAGUUUUAAAACAGUAAGCGUAUCAUUUGCAAAGAAAUGGUUGAAAAGCUUCAAUCAGGAUUUUGAGCACACCAUAGCACAAAAACAGCAGCAAUGCUUUUUACAUUAUGCUUCCCUGAAGUAAUAUUAUUAGAAAACACUGUACAUAUUUUCAUUGGUAUUUCAGAUGUUAACUAGAUUCACCUGUAUUUCUAAUGCUAUAACAACUCUUAACGUCUUAAACCCACAAGAGUUACUCAGCCUGCUGAACUGUAAAGGCAUAAAACAUGACACAUGCAUGUAAAGUCUAACGCAACUUGUCCACAGUGUAUUAUCUUAAUUGCCUUAUCAGAUUACAGAUAUUCAGAAUUGCUAUAAUGUAUAUGGGCUUCCUGUGAGUUGGUUGCAAUAACAAAAUGGGAUGUUACCUUUAAAUUACCACCUGUUAUGGGAAUCUGAAAUAAAUUGAGACAACCAGAUUGGCUUAAUGAAUUUGUAACCUUUGUAAAGGGUUCAAAUAUGGAAGCAGUCUUCAUGCUUUUUUUUGACCAAGAAAGGUUGUGAGCCUAGAAUGUUCAUUACAAGUUAUCUGCUGUGGUCACAGGAUGCUGUUCGAACACUGUUAUAAAAAAAGAUCACAGGUGCAUCUGAAAGAAUAAGGUAAGCUUGACAGAGCAAAAUCUCACAAGUCUCCGUUACACAUCUCACAAGUGUUACAGUGUUACACAAAACCAUCAACAUGUAGCGAUUAUUUACAUCUGCAUUUAAUAUUAAAAAAAUCCACUUGAAGUUUAAGGCUACAUUUCUGUCUGCCACAAUUUCAAAUUCCUUUCGACCAUCGUAGCAACUUGUUGCUUCAUUGUGGUUCACCCUAUCUGUGGCUGCAGAUUAAAUCUGUAGCUCAAAGUCGAAUGAACGAAUGUGUAACUUGAGUGCAAAGUUCAUGAGUGGAUUACGUUAAGAAAACUAGAUCAGCUACAAUCCAUAUAUAGCUUCUUUUAAGAGAAAUAUAACAUUGGUGCAGCAGGUCUAAUUUCAGUGUUAUUAGGCUCAUUUUCUUCUAUCGUGUAAGAGUCUGACUCUUAUAUUCACCAGUAAUGAUUUUUAAAAUGCUAAAAUUUACUGAAGCAAGUUCCCUCAGAUGCCCUGUUGUAAAAACAUAAAAUUGGACAUGAAGUCCAAGAAGACUUCAAUACAAUAUUAUCUAAAUUGUCUUAUCAGAUACGAGCAAUUACAACUAUCUCUAUCUAGAUUUGCCGUGAACGCUCUAGAUUGACUGAAUGCAGUUUAUGCAAUAAAAUGGGUUAUUGAUUUGAAAUUAAUAUCUUUAGUAUUUAUUCUUUAAAACAAUUGGCAUUCAGAUUCCCCUACACAGUUUCAGUAUCUUUAACAUUUUAGGAAUUUCUUCAAAAAAACAACAACAACAAAACAAUUAGACCAGUUCCUAAUUUUCCUUUGAUGUUUUUGUCUUUGCCCUAAAUGAGUGCUCAGCAAAAAAAGCAUUACACACCAUCGUUAUUGUAAUCUGUUAUCACAGGAAAAAUGGGCCUUUCGCCACUUUACUGCUUGUCAUAACACAUAUAUCACUACAUAGCAAUCUCUUGCCCCCUUUUCCCCAGACCUUUGGCAUUCAGCAGGAUAAAAGGUGCCUCCUCAGGGAGGCGAGUGUUUAGAUCACACCUGCAAUUGCUGCCGUGUACAAUCCUGCUGCAGAUCGAGAUCCAGAAUCAGCGAAUUGACAGUCUCUGAGAUGUGGCUCUUGAUUUUCUUAGUCUGCCUGCUCAUAUGUGCAGGUAGCACAUACUGGUACCUGUUUGGGAAACCGAGCCCCUUCUCGCUCAACUCAGUGAGACCACCUGCACCACGGGAGUUUGAUCAGAAGAAGCGCGACAAAGUCAUCAAGCAAGGUUUCAGCGUUGACAAAGUGCCCAAGAACCUGGAUGUCAUCGUCAUCGGCAGUGGUAUUGGUGGUCUGACGGCUGGAGCCACACUGGCCAAAGCAGGAAAGAAAGUGCUGGUGCUGGAGCAACAUGACCAGGCCGGAGGCUGCUGCCACACUUACAUAGAGAAAGGCUUCGAGUUUGAUGUCGGGCUUCACUACAUUGGCCAGCUCCAUGAGAACAGUCUGCUGCGUAUCGCCUUUGACCAGAUCUCAGAGGGCCAGCUGGAGUUUCACCAGCUCGAUCAACAUUUUGACACCAUUCAAAUCGGCCUGGGCAACGAAAAACGAGAGUACACCAUCUACUGUGGGAAAACUGAGAUGAAAGCUCACCUGAUGAAGCAGUUUCCUGAUGACACAGAAGCCAUUGACAAGUUCUUUAAAAUCAUGAAGAUCUCAGCUAAGAAGACGCACUAUCUGGCAACUCUCAAGCUUAUCCCGCAGUGGGUGUCUUUAUUCCUGCUGAAGUCAGGCAUUGCAGACCUCAUCUCUCCAGUUUUCCGCCUCUCUGGCACAUGUGCAACAGAUUUUGUGAACACCCUGACCAGCAACAAGGAUCUCCAUACCAUCUUUUCUUACUUUUUCUAUGGUGUGCCACCAAAGGACUCCAGUGUCCUGAUGAAUGCCCUCAUGAUUCAUCACUACAAACGAGGAGCAUACUACCCUAAAGGCGGGGCCAGUGAGAUUCCUUUCCACAUCAUUCGCACCAUUCAGAAAUAUGGAGGAAACUGCCUGGUGAGAGCUCCCGUCUCCCAGAUCCUGGUUAAUGAAGAGGGAGCUGCUUAUGGUGUAAAGGUGAGGAAAGGUCAAGAGGAAGUGGAAAUUCAUGCGCCUGUGGUGGUUUCAAACUGUGGAAUCUUCAAUACGUUCCAGAAACUUCUACCCCCUGAGAUACAAGCCAAACCAGAUAUUCAGCAACGACUGAACAUGAUGAAACAUGGCAGAGGAUCAUUAUUAGUCUUCUCUGGCUUUGAUGGAACAAAGGAGGAACUGGACCUCGUUUCCACUAAUUUCUGGCUGUUCAAAGACAAUGAUAUGGACAAGUCGAUGGAGGACUACUUUGGAUUGAGCAGAGAGGAAGCACCUGAUAACAUCCCCAUGAUUUUCAUCACAGUGCCAUCUUCUAAAGACCCUGAAGCCAAGAUAAGGCAUCCUGGAAAAUCCUGCAUGACAAUACUCACCAUGGUUAACUAUGAAUGGUUUGAGCAAUGGAAAGACACUACUGUGCGCAAAAGGGGUGAUGAAUACUACAAUUACAAAAUGCGAUUUGCUAAGAACCUCUUUGACUGGGCCUGCACUGUGUUCCCUAAAAUUAAAGACAAGUUGGUUUUCCAGGAUGUGGCGACGCCACUGACAAACAUGCACUACCUGGGUGCUCAGCAUGGAGCCAUGUACUCCGCUGAGCACAACCUGGAGCGUUUCCAUGCUGAGGCCGUAGCCAAAAACAGAUGCAACACCCCAGUCAAGAACCUGUACAUCUCAGGCCAAGAUGUGUUCAGCAAUGGGAUAGCUGGUGCUCUGCAUGGUGGACUCCUCUGUGCCUGUGCUGUGUUGGACCGCAUUAUCUACAUUGACUUGCUCCUCCUCAAGAAGAAGCUGAAGAGAAGGAAAGCCAGAGAACUGGCAAAGCUGGCUCAGAAGAAACUGCAGUGAAAUUGCUCUCUUCUUCCCCUGCAGGACAAAAACGGAACUACACAAUGACGUGGCUUCACGGGAGACAGCCUGUCGGAUGGCUGGCCUGUCCAUUCAUUUGGACCAGGCUGAACUACUGGAUGCAGCUCAAGGUUCCCAGAGAAAGACUCUUCCAACAGUAUGUUGGAGCUCCUCCCUGCUGGCCGGCCACAGCCUCCCACAGCUUGCACUCAGCCAGCAACCACAGCUGCUACCAAUAUGAGAACUCUGAGAAGAAAGUUUUAGGCGACACAGAGGAGAGGAAGACCCAGUCUGAAGUUUGCACUUAGGAUCAGACUGGGCUUAAAGGCAAGAGCAGGUGAAAAAAAGAAAGAGCCAGCCGAGUUAGGGUCACUCCUACUUUACUAACCCAUCAUAGUUGAUGUUCUUUAAAACCUUUGUAAGAUGCAUUAAAUAUACACCCUUUUUUUCCACCAUCUAAUAUGUAAAGACAAAACAUUUUUUGUCUUGUCUUUUUUUCUUGAUUCCUUCAAAUCAGUUGUUUUCCUGCUUUGCAAAGAUCACAAACUUCUUCUGUGAUUUCGAUAAAAAGCUGAUGUUUGGGGCCAUCUCUCUCUGUUGAGCUAAAUGGAAAAUCCAAGGAAAAUGGCAGCUUCCCAAAACUCUCUUUUGUCUGCAUGAAAAGCCUUCCACAAUCUGAAACUAGUUGUUAUGUCUUUACACUUAGAGCUCACAAUAUCAGCUUAAUCAUUUUUAAAGUCUCAGUUUAAGGUACAUACUAUAUCAUUGGAUAAAUAUCUGCCUCUUUAUUUGAUUAAAGCUACACUGGCUUCACUAUCUAGCUACCAAGUGCUCUACAAGUAGGGUUCAACAAUGGUGUUGAACCAAAGCAGUAAAUCUCAGGGUAGCUGCUGAACAAUGAGCUUUCCAUGUUGGCUAAUUACGAAAAUGACUCCUUUCACACUCUCAGUUUUGCUUUUACUUGUACUAAAACAUUGCCUAUGUUUGCAUUGAAAUCAAGAAACUAACUACCAGACGGCACCAGACAUGCAUGCUGGCUGAUAGGGUUAAAGUGCCAGCAGUUCCUCCAAGGCCACUUGAAGCUAGCUCCAAAAGUGAAUCAAUCCCUGUGGAAUGCCACAUUAAAAUACCCUAUUUUACCCCCAUAUCUCACUUUGACACAAGCGCAUCUCACCAAAUUUGGACACUUCUCAGACCAAAAAACAAACAUUUAGGCUUUAAAAUCUAGACUCCAGAAAUGAAUAUGUGACAUCAUGAUGACACGUCUUCCUUUUACAUACAGGUUAUGAUAAUAUCAGGUAGGCAGUGCAUGCUUCAUGCACAAUUUAAUUCUGUGGAUUUAAAUUCAGCACAACACCUUUUUUUAAACUCACAAAAAUUCUCCUUCCCAGCCUAACAGCAGAAAUGAAUGUGUCUUGGCAGGCCUAUACUUUCCCUUUUCAUCUGUUUGAUAUAUUUGAUGUAAGACUACUGCAUGUUUGGAGCUUGGCUGGGAGAGAGAGCAAGAGAGAACAGGGAAGAGAGAGGACCAAGUGCCAGAGGGGCCCAAAGACAGGAGAACACUGGAGGCUAACUUUGUAUAUUCACAUCUCUUUUUUUAUGAAAGGGUAAUUUUGGGUAUUCAUCCAGCGCACUUUUUAAAGUCAAGUGUCUAUUCCUGUAAUUAUUACCUCUAUAUCGGUUAGAUAGAAAACAUCUGGACCGAGUUUUGUGUCCAUUUAUUUAAAACUCAAACAGAAUAAGUUGGCGCCACGUUGCUUAAAGAAAAUUAAAGUAAUAAUUAUCUGGCAGACUAAAAAGUCACCCUCAAUUACACCAUGUGUUGAGCUGUACUGAUGAUAUGAAUCUCUGGCUUGAAUCCAUUAUUAGCAAUUUCUAACAGCUGAGCAAUGUAACAUAGAAAAAAAAUGUUAUCUUUUUGCUUGAAUGAAAGAAUUUAACUCUUUGCUCUUUCACACCCAUCUGCACUAUGUGACUGCAGCUCCACCUUCCAGUGGCUGCUUCGGACACAAUCCAGUCUCAUAUUUCACCGUUUGGUCGUCACUCCAAGCCCAUCCUCCACUAAUGCUCAU
Molecule: RNA transcript, 8028 nt
Organism: Haplochromis burtoni (Burton's mouthbrooder)
Lineage: Eukaryota; Metazoa; Chordata; Actinopteri; Cichliformes; Cichlidae
Gene name: guanine nucleotide-binding protein G(I)/G(S)/G(O) subunit gamma-T2
Exons: 15
Source: RefSeq, a predicted model, not a curated record